UACGGAGGGUGCGAGCGUUGUCCGGAAUCACUGGGCGUAAAGGGUGCGUAGGUGGCGCGGUAAGUCGGGUGUGAAAUCUCGGAGCUUAACCCCGAAAUUGCAUUCGAUACUGCCGUGCUCGAGGACUGGAGAGGAGACUGGAAUUCAUGGUGUAGCAGUGAAAUGCGUAGAGAUCAUGAGGAAGACCAGUGGCGAAGGCGGGUCUCUGGACAGUUCCUGACACUGAGGCACGAAGGCCAGGGGAGCAAACGGG
This 253-nucleotide ribosomal RNA is filed under the name uncultured bacterium. RNAcentral's name for it is "partial 16S ribosomal RNA". It matches the Rfam family "Bacterial small subunit ribosomal RNA", at positions 524 to 776 of the family's 1533-position model. The record is from RNAcentral.